GUAGUCCACGCCGUAAACGAUGUCGAUUUGGAGGUUGUGCCCUUGAGGCGUGGCUUCCGGAGCUAACGCGUUAAAUCGACCGCCUGGGGAGUACGGCCGCAAGGUUAAAACUCAAAUGAAUUGACGGGGGCCCGCACAAGCGGUGGAGCAUGUGGUUUAAUUCGAUGCAACGCGAAGAACCUUACCUGGUCUUGACAUCCACAGAACCUGGCAGAGAUGCCGGGGUGCCUUCGGGAACUGUGAGACAGGUGCUGCAUGGCUGUCGUCAGCUCGUGUUGUGAAAUGUUGGGUUAAGUCCCGCAACGAGCGCAACCCUUAUCCUUUGUUGCCAGCGGUUAGGCCGGGAACUCAAAGGAGACUGCCAGUGAUAAACUGGAGGAAGGUGGGGAUGACGUCAAGUCAUCAUGGCCCUUACGACCAGGGCUACACACGUGCUACAAUGGCGCAUACAAAGAGAAGCGACCUCGCGAGAGCAAGCGGACCUCAUAAAGUGCGUCGUAGUCCGGAUUGGAGUCUGCAACUCGACUCCAUGAAGUCGGAAUCGCUAGUAAUCGUGAAUCAGAAUGUCACGGUGAAUACGUUCCCGGGCCUUGUACACACCGCCCGUCACACCAUGGGAGUGGGUUGCAAAAGAAGUAGGUAGCUU
Molecule: ribosomal RNA, 646 nt
Filed under: bacterium YG-86
Lineage: Bacteria
Description: bacterial SSU rRNA
Rfam family: Bacterial small subunit ribosomal RNA
Source: RNAcentral